Transfer RNA from Colletotrichum gloeosporioides Cg-14, 95 nucleotides. It matches the Rfam family "tRNA". From Rfam's summary of the family: Transfer RNA (tRNA) molecules are approximately 80 nucleotides in length. Their secondary structure includes four short double-helical elements and three loops (D, anti-codon, and T loops). The record is from Rfam. Lineage: Eukaryota; Fungi; Ascomycota; Sordariomycetes; Glomerellales; Glomerellaceae.
UCCGGCAUGGUGUAGUGGUUAACAUACUCCGCUUUCAAGCCGGUCAAAUGGUCUGAGGUUCCGGAGAGCUCCGAGUUCGAUUCUCGGUGUCGGAA